Molecule: long non-coding RNA, 179 nt
Filed under: Dermacentor andersoni
Lineage: Eukaryota; Metazoa; Arthropoda; Arachnida; Ixodida; Ixodidae
Description: uncharacterized LOC126522157
Source: RNAcentral
GUAUUUUUGUCCGUAACGCGAUUAGAUGAAAUCUCGCCGUACGAGGUACUUUCGCCCGAGAAGAAUUCUGGAAGCUGUGAACAUCAUGAAGACUGUGAAAGCGUAGUGCUCGGAUACGGAAGAAUCGAUGAAGGUUGGAAGGCAUCUCAACAGAUAGCUGGGAGGCGGGAGGCUGGGCG